AUGAACUGCACACCUCUACUCUUCCCACUCCUCUUGCUCUACACAGGCUUUGUGGUCUCCUAUGAGCUGACUCAGCCAUUCUCAGUCUCAGUAGCCCCAGGACAGACAGCCACAAUCACCUGUUCUGGAGAUGAACUGCCAAAUAACUAUGCAAACUGGUUCCAGCAGCAGUACCCAGGACAGAGCCCUGUGCUGGUAAUAUACAAAGAUAGUGAGAGACCUUUAGGGAUCCCAGAGAGAUUCUCUGGGUCCAGCUCAGGGACAACAGCCACUCUGACCAUCAGCAGAACUCAGACUGAAGAUGAGGCUGUCUAUUAUUGUUUAUCAUCAUAUGAUGAUAGUGGUAAUGCACUUCCCACAGUGACACAGACAGAUGGGAAGUGA
Ictidomys tridecemlineatus (thirteen-lined ground squirrel) is the source of this 384-nucleotide non-coding RNA. The record is from the annotation of a RefSeq genome assembly. NCBI's taxonomy places the organism in Eukaryota, Metazoa, Chordata, Mammalia, Rodentia, Sciuridae.